AGAGUUUGAUCAUGGCUCAGGAUAAACGCUGGCGGCGUGCCUAACACAUGCAAGUCGAACGAUCCCGCAAGGGAGAGUGGCGGAAGGGUGAGUAACACGUGGGAAUCUACCUCCUCGCAGGGAACAACCUCUCGAAAGAGAGGCUAAUACCCAAAAGGGUCAGAAACGAUCAGAGUCGAAAGGCGUGAGGAGAGGAGCCCGCGGCCCAUCAGCUAGUUGGUGAGGUAAUGGCUUACCAAGGCUACGACGGGUAGGGGAUCUGAGAGGAUGUCCCCCACACUGGAACUGAAACACGGUCCAGACGCCUACGGGUGGCAGCAGUGAGGAAUAUUGGACAAUGGGCGAAAGCCCGAUCCAGCAACGCCGCGUGGAGGAUGAAGGCCUUCGGGUCGUAAACUUCUUUAGAGGGAGACGAGAAAGGACGGUAUCCCUAGAAUAAGCGACGGCAAACUACGUG
RNAcentral lists this ribosomal RNA (457 nucleotides) under uncultured bacterium. RNAcentral's name for it is "bacterial SSU rRNA". It matches the Rfam family "Bacterial small subunit ribosomal RNA", at positions 8 to 507 of the family's 1533-position model. The record is from RNAcentral.